RNAcentral lists this ribosomal RNA (273 nucleotides) under uncultured bacterium. RNAcentral's name for it is "partial 16S ribosomal RNA". It matches the Rfam family "Bacterial small subunit ribosomal RNA", at positions 524 to 796 of the family's 1533-position model. The record is from RNAcentral.
UACGAAGGGUGCAAACGUUGCUCGGAAUCAUUGGGCGUAAAGCGCACGUAGGCGGCCUCGCAAGUCGGAUGUGAAAUCCCUCGGCUCAACCGAGGACGUGCAUCCGAAACUGCGGGGCUUGAGUACAGAAGAGGAUCGCGGAAUUCCCGGUGUAGAGGUGAAAUUCGUAGAUAUCGGGAGGAACACCAGUGGCGAAGGCGGCGAUCUGGGCUGAUACUGACGCUGAGGUGCGAAAGCGUGGGGAGCAAACAGGAUUAGAAACCCCUGUAGUCC